This 117-nucleotide ribosomal RNA is filed under the name Lepisosteus oculatus (spotted gar). The record is from RNAcentral. Lineage: Eukaryota; Metazoa; Chordata; Actinopteri; Semionotiformes; Lepisosteidae.
GCCAGCGGCCAUAUCACCCUUCAACUCACAACCCACUGAAGCUAAGUACUGUAGGUGUGAGCCUAGUCAGUACCUGGAUGGGAGACCUCCUGGGAAAAACUAAGGUUGCUGCUGGAA